This 440-nucleotide ribosomal RNA is filed under the name uncultured bacterium. RNAcentral's name for it is "partial 16S ribosomal RNA". It matches the Rfam family "Bacterial small subunit ribosomal RNA", at positions 338 to 795 of the family's 1533-position model. The record is from RNAcentral.
CCUACGGGUGGCAGCAGUGGGGAAUAUUGCACAAUGGGGGGAACCCUGAUGCAGCGACGCCGCGUGAAGGAAGAAGUAUUUCGGUAUGUAAACUUCUAUCAGCAGGGAAGAAAAUGACGGUACCUGACUACGACGCCCCGGCUAACUACGUGCCAGCAGCCGCGGUAAUACGUAGGGGGCAAGCGUUAUCCGGAUUUACUGGGUGUAAAGGGAGCGUAGACGGCUGUGCAAGUCUGAAGUGAAAGCCCGUGGCUCAACCGCGGAACUGCUUUGGAAACUGUAUAGCUUGAGUACUGGAGAGGCAGGCGGAAUUCCUAGUGUAGCGGUGAAAUGCGUAGAUAUUAGGAGGAACACCAGUGGCGAAGGCGGCCUGCUGGACAGAAACUGACGUUGAGGCUCGAAAGUGUGGGUAUCAAACAGGAUUAGAUACCCCGGUAGUC